GGUCCAGCCUGUCAAUCACAUCGAAGCUCCGCCCCUCCAGGCUGGAACAAGGAGCUGCUCUGCUGCUGGCCUCUUGUGAAACCAAUGACAGCUGGAUGAAGAUACACAAGCGUACAAGGAUACAGUAUGAUGCAUUAAUGAUUCUUAAGGCUCUCACGUCUCUUUCUACUUAGACUGUGCACAUUGAUUGGUCCUUACUUAGUCUGGGCUCUGAUCCCACAGUCCUGGCUAUGUCAUGUACCAGGAAUCCUGAUUUAUUUCCACCCACACCAUCUAAAGUACUCCUGCACCUUUCAGUAUCUCCGUCUCAGAAUCUCUGGAUCAUCGUGCUGGCUGGUGGAAGUGCAACGCGGGAGCGUGGACUUCCGUACGCAGCAGGGAACAGAGAGUGACAACUGCAAAUACAGUAAGAGUGGCACGCAGCCGGUUUAUCCUACGAUGUGCUAAUUGUUUUCCGGAUCCCUGUUAACAGUUGCUUCUGAUGUUGUCUACGGCCGGGAACAUUUUGAUUGUUGAUGUUGAACAGAUAUGGACGUCCUUAAAGUUGUUAGAUAAAGAAUGCGUUACAAGUCCUUUUCUAAUACUGCGCAAAUGUUCACCAAGGCGUGUUUUCCAUGCUCUACUUGUU
Long non-coding RNA from Pseudophryne corroboree (corroboree frog), 628 nucleotides. RefSeq lists it as uncharacterized. Lineage: Eukaryota; Metazoa; Chordata; Amphibia; Anura; Myobatrachidae. The transcript has 5 exons. The record is from RefSeq and is a predicted model, not a curated record.